This 28-nucleotide non-coding RNA is filed under the name Homo sapiens (human). The record is from RNAcentral. Lineage: Eukaryota; Metazoa; Chordata; Mammalia; Primates; Hominidae.
UCCACUAGGUGAUGGUGUUGACCUUGAA